UAAGUGCACAGCAGCAGCAGCAGACACAAGUCAAAGCCUGAAGCUGUCAUGUUUGAGCUGGUACUUUCUGCUGGUGAUACCUCCCAUGUGUGGCUGUCUGCUUGCCCUCUCAGGGGGACAGUCUGGUGUGCACCAAAGGAGAUGAGUUUCCUCAUCUGCCUUUUGUGUGCAGGCACAUGCUGAAGGUGGGAGCCGGGUUUUGCUGAGACAACAGAUGCACAUGUGAAGAUAAUUUCUAUUCUUGUAUCUAACUCUUUGCUGCAAAAUAACAGUGGUGAGCGGUGGUAACUCAAGAAAACAAAAAAUAGAAACUAACAUAGUGGAAACAGGAUGAUAGAUUAAUGUCAUUUUGUAUGACAAUGGUUAUUGUCAAGUUACUGUCACAGGGUAGUUUUGCUCUGCGAAAAUGUUUUUCAUCUCAGCUCUCUUAUUGUCUGGUUGUUUCUCAGAUCAAGAAGACACUGGAGCUUGCAGUGCACAGAUCGUUACAUGUAUGGAAUUGACAACAAGGAUAUAAAAUGUAGGUUUGUCCUGAGGAUGAUUUAGCUACUGAAGAGAAAUAAAAGCAGAAAGAGGCCACACCUAAAAUCAUGGAGUGAGACUUUUUCUUCUCAUUGAUAUUUAAUAUUUUUAUAUUUAAAUAUUUAUUGAUAUUUAUUUAGAUCCUCGAAUCUUUGUUCCAGACAUUGACUCUGCAGCAAAUAACCAUAUCAAGGGAAGAAAGAUUUAUGUGACUAUUAUGUGCAGGCAAAACUGUGUGUAUCUGAUGCAUAAAAAGGUUUCUGAAUUUUGAGAUCUACUAAAUCAGUUGGGGUUUAUUGCAAUAUCUUUCUGUGGUUCAUUUGUUCAGGAAGAGAGCCUAUAUUAAAUAUGAAGGUCAUAUAUAUAGGAAAAUAUUUUAUUAGUUAAUAAAGCAAGAAAAAGUA
Molecule: long non-coding RNA, 926 nt
Organism: Pezoporus flaviventris
Lineage: Eukaryota; Metazoa; Chordata; Aves; Psittaciformes; Psittacidae
Exons: 2
Source: RefSeq, a predicted model, not a curated record